Molecule: small RNA, 30 nt
Filed under: Bombyx mori (domestic silkworm)
Lineage: Eukaryota; Metazoa; Arthropoda; Insecta; Lepidoptera; Bombycidae
Description: ovarian small RNA-30699
Source: RNAcentral
UGAACAUGAAACUAUUUGGUCGACGUGCCU